Chinchilla lanigera (long-tailed chinchilla) is the source of this 2581-nucleotide long non-coding RNA. RefSeq lists it as uncharacterized. Lineage: Eukaryota; Metazoa; Chordata; Mammalia; Rodentia; Chinchillidae. The record is from RefSeq and is a predicted model, not a curated record. The transcript has 3 exons.
CCCCACCCCUGGCCUGCCUUCCCCUCGAUUUCCUCCAAUCACGAUCUUGGCCCUACCCCCUGGAUCCCGCCUCCUUCCCCCAUCAGCACUCUCUCCUGAUAGCUUACUGCCUAGCCUUGGAGUCCAUGACAGUUCCUCUUAUGGCAUCUUUGAACUCGCUACUCUGUUGCAGAAUUGAAGAGGCUAGAGAGACCACAGGAUGUGUGUAAUUUGAGAUGAAGAAGAUAAUUCAGAAGAGAGCUUCCAAGUCAGAACAGAAGAGAGUUCAGAGUCUGAGGAUGAAGCUCAUAGCAUCGGCUGUGACAUCCCCAUGGGUGACAUGAAGCUUCCAACUCAGAAGGUGGAAAAGGCGAGAUUGAAGUGUUGGACAGUCCAAUGUCAAAAAUCAAACAGCAGUGAAAUAAAUGGUCUAAAAAGAAAUAGGUGAUUCAUACCUUGUCGUUCUCUAAAAAAAAAGUCCAUUUCUGGAUGCUGUACAUUUCUGGUAUGUUAGGUGCUCUUCUUUGUUAAAUGAAUAAGUAGACAGUUGAACAGUAAAGAACAAUGUGAGCAAAGAACAAUGCAUGAAUCAGGCAACACUCAGCAUGGAAGGGAGUUCUAAGCUGUGCUGUGUAGCUGGGACAGCAUGAUUUUAUAUCUAACAGAGAACUCAAGUGCAGAAAUAGCAUGAUGAGUCCAGCAAGGUCUUCACCUUGGGCGUACACGGUCUGGUCUGGGGAGGGGCUGGGACUGGCCAAGGCUCAGCUGUGUGUGGCUGAAACCCAUAUACACUCCUAUUUCACCUGCUGAAGAUGUUUUUCCUUGAGAUUCAUGUUAUGCACUGUGAGUAUACUUGCUCCUCUAACUUUUACACAGUAUGGUGACUCUAGUUAAUAAGGAGUUAUUUCAGAAUAACUAGAUUUUGAAAGUUUCACUAGAAAGAAAUGGCAAAUAUUUGAAGUGGUAGUUAGGUGAAUUAACCCAAUUUGAUCAUUAUAUAAUGACUUAGUAGCUGAGCAGGCUCAACAGAUUUGGGUGGCAGGACACCCAGAAAUUAUGGAAGAAAUGCUAUUGGGAACAGGUCUGUACUCAGAUCUAAACUCACAGUUAACACUUCCAGAGCAGGCUUACCAACAAAUGGCUCUCACAAUGAAACAAACCUGGGUAACUACUCCCGAGGUUGGUACUCUGAUUCAGUCCUUUUUACACAUUCUUCAAUGCUCCUGUGAGUCUUAUGCCCAGUUCUUAGCCAGGUUUCAGAAAGCUGUCCAAUGACAGAUACCACAUGCACAAACAGCAGAGAUUAUUAUGCUGCUGGCUUUGAAGAAUGCUAAUAAAAAAGCACUAGGGACCAUUCAAGUGACUAAAAAUCUUGGGAACUAUUUGAAAGUAUGCGAAGAUGGAGGUAAUGAAGGUCGUAAGUCCUCCAUGUCUGCCCAACUUAUGUUUGGGUUAAUUAAACAAAUCUGGCUUCUUUAAAAAUACAGUAUUUUAAUUGUGACAAACAGGGCAUAUCUGUAAACACUCAACCCCAGGCCCACUGCAGUCCCUCAGGACUGGCCUAUUGUUACUGAACUUAAGCAUUGCUUUUUAAAAACUUUCCUUCUAAGUCCACAGGACCAACCCGGUAUUGCUUUCUCUUUUCCUUUCAUAUUGAGCAUGUUGGAGUCUAUCCUGGAGUUUUGUCCUUACCUUCUUUAGACAGUAAGCAUUUAACGAAGUCCUGCCUUUCUCAGAGCAAUACUUAACUUUCUAUGUUAAUUUUCAAGAGUUAGUAGCCACUAACUUCCUGCCAGUAACCUUGCUGAGCCUAUGCAUGCAUAUCAAUGGACAGUUCUGCCACAGGGGAUGAUGAACAGCCCUAUCGUGUGUCAGUAUUCCAUUGGUUGGGCUUUAAAUCCCGUUAGGAAAGAAUUCCCUCAAGCCUACAUAAUACAUUAUAUGAAUGAUACAUUCCUUGCUGCUGAUUCUCAGCAACAACUUAUCCUUCUUUUAGCAGAGACUAAAUAGACUUUGAUACAACAUGGGUUAUACAUAGCCUAUAGAGAAAAUUCAAACAAUCUCCCCUUAUAGUAAUUUGGGAACUCUGGUAAUGGAAAUAACAGCCUGAGUCCAGAAAUUAAGAAAAGACUCAUUAUGAACAUUAAAUUAUUUCCAGAAAUCCUUCAGGAACAUUAAUUAGAUUUGCCCAAAAUUUUUAUACCUACUUAUCAGCUGAGCAAACUAUGUAAAAAUCAUGGAUUUGAAUUCUCUUCAUACCCUCAUACCUGAGGCCCUUAAACAGCUCGAUAACAGAAAAUGUUUUGGCAAACAGAAAGGUGUUUUGAAUUAGUCUGACUGUGCCUCUUAUGCUGAUCAUACUGCCUACUCUUCACUGUCCUAUUGGACUUUUUGGUUAAACCAUGAAUGAUAACUAUCAACCUAUUGAAUAGCUUUGUCUUCCUAACCGGUUUACAAAAGUCUUGAGACAUACAGAUUAAAUGGCUAAGCCAAUUCAGCAGGCCUGCCACCACUGCAUAUAGCUUUCAGGAUUUGAUCCUGAUCGUCUGUGCCUGUUUUAUUCUUGCACAACAUACUUUCAGUAUGCUCACAUUCAUAGACG